Molecule: ribosomal RNA, 228 nt
Filed under: uncultured bacterium
Lineage: Bacteria
Description: partial 16S ribosomal RNA
Rfam family: Bacterial small subunit ribosomal RNA
Source: RNAcentral
CGGGUGAGUAGUACAUCGGAACGUGUCUUCUAGUGGGGGAUAACUGCCCGAAAGGGCAGCUAAUACCGCAUGAGACCUGAGGGUGAAAGCGGGGGAUCGCAAGACCUCGCGCUGGAAGAGCGGCCGAUGUCCGAUUAGCUAGUUGGUGAGGUAAAGGCUCACCAAGGCGACGAUCGGUAGCUGGUCUGAGAGGACGACCAGCCACACUGGGACUGAGACACGGCCCAG